CCUCCAUGCUGCCAAGAAAAGCCUCUAGCGAGCUUCGAGCGGCCCGUACCCCAAACCGACACAGGUGGUCAGGUAGAGAAUACCGAGGCGAUCGGGCGAACUGUGGUUAAGGAACUCGGCAAAUUACCCCCGUAACUUCGGGAGAAGGGGGGCCACAGACUGUCAUACCCCACGCGGGUGGCAGCAGUAGGUGGCCGCAGAGACCAGGGGGAAGCGACUGUUUACUAAAAACACAGGUCCGUGCGAAGUCGUAAGACGAUGUAUACGGACUGACGCCUGCCCGGUGCUGGAACGUUAAGGGGACCGGUUAGUCCGCAAGGGCGAAGCUGAGAACUUAAGCGCCAGUAAACGGCGGUGGUAACUAUAACCAUCCUAAGGUAGCGAAAUUCCUUGUCGGGUAAGUUCCGACCUGCACGAAUGGCGUAACGACUUCCCUACUGUCUCAACCACAGGCCCGGCGAAAUUGCACUACGAGUAAAGAUGCUCGUUACGCGCGGAAGGACGGAAAGACCCCGGGACCUUCACUAUAGCUUGACAUUGGUAUCCGAAUUUAAUUGUGUAGGAUAGGUGGGAGGCUUUGAUCCGCGGACGCCAGUCCGUCGGGGAGCCAACGUUGAAAUACCACUCUGUUGAAUUUGGGUAUCUAACUUCGGACCGUGAUCCGGUUCAGGGACAGUGUCUGGUGGGUAGUUUAACUGGGGCGGUUGCCUCCUAAAAUGUAACGGAGGCGCCCAAAGGUUCCCUCAGCCUGGUUGGCAAUCAGGUGUUGAGUACAAGUGCACAAGGGAGCUUGACUGUGAGACUGACAGGUCGAGCAGGGACGAAAGUCGGGACUAGUGAUCCGGCACCUGCGAGUGGAAGCGGUGUCGCUCAACGGAUAAAAGGUACCCCGGGGAUAACAGGCUGAUCUUCCCCAAGAGUCCAUAUCGACGGGAUGGUUUGGGCACCUCGAUGUCGGCUCGUCGCAUCCUGGGGCUGGAGUAGGUCCCAAGGGUUGGGCUGUUCGCCCAUUAAAGCGGCACGCGAGCUGGGUUUAGAACGUCGUGAGACAGUUCGGUCCCUAUCCUCCGCGCGCGUAGGAGACUUGAGAAGAGCUGUCCCUAGUACGAGAGGACCGGGACGGACGAACCUCUGGUGUGCCAGUUGUCAUGCCAAUGGCACGGCUGGUUAGCUACGUUCGGAAGGGAUAACCGCUGAAAGCAUCUAAGCGGGAAGCUCGCUUCAAGAUGAGGUCUCCCACCCCUUGAGGGUUAAGGCCCCCAGCUAGACCACUGGGUUGAUAGGCCAGAAGUGUAAGCCUGGUAACAGGUUCAGCCGACUGGUACUAAUAGGCCGAGGACUA
RNAcentral lists this ribosomal RNA (1342 nucleotides) under metagenome. Its description in RNAcentral is "bacterial LSU rRNA". It matches the Rfam family "Bacterial large subunit ribosomal RNA", at positions 1597 to 2925 of the family's 2925-position model. The record is from RNAcentral.